This 460-nucleotide ribosomal RNA is filed under the name uncultured bacterium. RNAcentral's name for it is "partial 16S ribosomal RNA". It matches the Rfam family "Bacterial small subunit ribosomal RNA", at positions 338 to 795 of the family's 1533-position model. The record is from RNAcentral.
CCUACGGGUGGCAGCAGUGAGGAAUAUUGGUCAAUGGACGAGAGUCUGAACCAGCCAAGUAGCGUGAAGGAUGACUGCCCUAUGGGUUGUAAACUUCUUUUAUAAAGGAAUAAAACGAGGCACGUGUGCCUUUUUGCAUGUACUUUAUGAAUAAGGAUCGGCUAACUCCGUGCCAGCAGCCGCGGUAAUACGGAGGAUCCGAGCGUUAUCCGGAUUUAUUGGGUUUAAAGGGAGCGUAGAUGGGUUGUUAAGUCAGUUGUGAAAGUUUGCGGCUCAACCGGAAAAUUGCAAUUGAUACUGGCAGUCUGGAGUGUGCGAGAAGUAUGCGGAAUGCGUGGUGUAGCGGUGAAAUGCAUAGAUAUCACGCAGAACUCCGAUUGCGAAGGCAGCAUACCGGCGCGCAACUGACGCUGAGGCACGAAAGCGUGGGGAUCGAACAGGAUUAGAUACCCUGGUAGUC